This 497-nucleotide ribosomal RNA is filed under the name uncultured bacterium. RNAcentral describes it as "partial 16S ribosomal RNA". It matches the Rfam family "Bacterial small subunit ribosomal RNA", at positions 28 to 507 of the family's 1533-position model. The record is from RNAcentral.
GAUGAACGCUGGCGGCGUGCCUAAUCCAUGCAAGUCGACCGACCAGACAAAGCGCUUUCUCCUUUGCAGUUGACGGGCGACGGGGGAAUAACCCGUGGAGAACCCUCCUCCAAGCCUGGGAUAACGUAUGGGAAACAAAGCUAAUAACGGAUUAAACUUUGUUGCGCAUUGUACAAAAGUGAAAGGCGGUUUUGCUGUCACCUAGAGAUGGACCCGCGGUGCUUUAGUUAGUUGGUAAGGUAAAGGCCUACCAAGCCAAGGAUGCAUAGCCGAGGUGAGAGACUGAUCGGCCACAAUGGGACUGAGACACGGCCCAAACUCCUACGGGAGGCCGCAGUAGGGAAUCUUCCACAAUGGGCGAAAGCAUGACGGAGCAACGCCGCGUGUGUGAUGAAGGUUUUCGGAUCGUAAAGAACUGUUAUAUGGGAAGAACAGCUAGAAUAGGAAAUGAUCCUAGAUUGACGGUACCAAACCAGAAAAGCACGGCUAACUACGUG